UAAGCGGAGGAGAAGAAACUAACCAGGAUUUCCCUAGUAACGGCGAGCGAACCGGAAAGAGCCCAGCUUGAGAAUCGGGGCGCCGCGCGCCCCGAGUUGUAGUCUGGAGAUCCGUCCUCUGCAGCGGACCGGACCCAAGUUCCCUGGAAAGGGACGUCGGAGAGGGUGACAGCCCCGUCGAGUCCGGACCCUGCUGCUCCACGAGGCGGAGUCGGCGAGUCGAGCUGUUUGGGAAUGCAGCUCUAAGUGGGUGGUAAAUUCCAUCCAAGGCUAAAUAUGGGCAGGAGACCGAUAGCGAACAAGUACCGCGAGGGAAAGAUGAAAAGGACUUUGAAAAGAGAGUUAAACAGUGCUUGAAAUUGCUGGGAGGGAAGCGAAUGGAAGCUGCGGGUGCGCCCCGGUUGGAUGUGGAACGGCCCUUCGUCGGGCUGGUCCGCCGCUCAACGCGGGGCGCUGGUCAGCGUGGGCCACCGCGGCGGGACAAGAGCGGGAUGCAGUUUCCCGCCGAUGCCGCGGCGGUGGCCGAGGAACGAAGCGCGCGGGGCUGGCGACAGCCCCGUGGUGCACAAACACCAACUGCGCGCUCGGGACGCUGGCGUAUUGAGCUCUCCAUCCGACCCGUCUUGAAACACGGACCAAGGAGUCUAACAUGUAUGCGAGCCGGUGGGCGGCAAACCCAUUGAGGCGUAAGGAAACUGACAGGUGGGACCCCGACCCCCCAAAGGGGAAGGGAGCACCAUCGACCGACCGUGAUCUUCUGUGAAAGGUUUGAGUGGGAGCAUACCUGUUGGGACCCGAAAGAUGGUGAACUAUGCCUGAGCAGGGCGAAGCCAGAGGAAACUCUGGUGGAGGCUCGUAGCGAUACUGACGUGCAAAUCGUUCGUCAGACUUGGGUAUAGGGGCGAAAGACUAAUCGAACCAUCUAGUAGCUGGUUCCCUCCGAAGUUUCCCUCAGGAUAGCUGGAGCUCGCGCACGAGUUUUAUCAGGUAAAGCGAAUGAUUAGAGGCAUCGGGGGUGUAACACCCUCGACCUAUUCUCAAACUUUAAAUGGGUAAGCCGCCGGGGUUGCUUGGUUGAACCCCGGCACAGAAUGAGAGCUCCAAGUGGGCCAU
RNAcentral lists this ribosomal RNA (1113 nucleotides) under Schistidium apocarpum. Its description in RNAcentral is "eukaryotic LSU rRNA". It matches the Rfam family "Eukaryotic large subunit ribosomal RNA", at positions 47 to 1134 of the family's 3401-position model. Lineage: Eukaryota; Viridiplantae; Streptophyta; Bryopsida; Grimmiales; Grimmiaceae. The record is from RNAcentral.